Molecule: ribosomal RNA, 1709 nt
Filed under: Burkholderia multivorans
Lineage: Bacteria; Pseudomonadati; Pseudomonadota; Betaproteobacteria; Burkholderiales; Burkholderiaceae
Description: partial 23S ribosomal RNA
Rfam family: Bacterial large subunit ribosomal RNA
Source: RNAcentral
CGCAUGGUAGGAGAGCGUUCCGUAAGCCUGCGAAGGUGCCUUGUAAAGGGUGCUGGAGGUAUCGGAAGUGCGAAUGCUGACAUGAGUAGCGAUAAAGGGGGUGAAAGGCCCCCUCGCCGUAAGCCCAAGGUUUCCUACGCAACGUUCAUCGGCGUAGGGUGAGUCGGCCCCUAAGGCGAGGCAGAAAUGCGUAGCUGAUGGGAAGCAGGUCAAUAUUCCUGCACCGUCGUUAGAUGCGAUGGGGGGACGGAUCGCGGAAGGUUGUCCGGGUGUUGGACGUCCCGGUCGCUGCAUUGGAGAAGGCGCUUAGGCAAAUCCGGGCGCAGGAUUCAAGGGUGUGGCGCGAGCGACUUCGGUCGCGAAGCAAUUGGAAGUGGUUCCAAGAAAAGCCUCUAAGCUUCAGUCUAACGAUGACCGUACCGCAAACCGACACAGGUGGGCGAGAUGAGUAUUCUAAGGCGCUUGAGAGAACUCGGGAGAAGGAACUCGGCAAAUUGGUACCGUAACUUCGGGAUAAGGUACGCCCUUGUAGCUUGACCAGCCUGCGCUGGAAGGGUGAAGGGGUUGCAAUAAACUGGUGGCUGCGACUGUUUAAUAAAAACACAGCACUCUGCAAACACGAAAGUGGACGUAUAGGGUGUGACGCCUGCCCGGUGCCGGAAGAUUAAAUGAUGGGGUGCAAGCUCUUGAUUGAAGUCCCGGUAAACGGCGGCCGUAACUAUAACGGUCCUAAGGUAGCGAAAUUCCUUGUCGGGUAAGUUCCGACCUGCACGAAUGGCGUAACGAUGGCCACACUGUCUCCUCCCGAGACUCAGCGAAGUUGAAGUGUUUGUGAUGAUGCAAUCUACCCGCGGCUAGACGGAAAGACCCCAUGAACCUUUACUGUAGCUUUGCAUUGGACUUUGAACCGAUCUGUGUAGGAUAGGUGGGAGGCUAUGAAACCGGAACGCUAGUUUCGGUGGAGCCGUCCUUGAAAUACCACCCUGGUUUGUUUGAGGUUCUAACCUUGGUCCGUGAUCCGGAUCGGGGACAGUGCAUGGUAGGCAGUUUGACUGGGGCGGUCUCCUCCCAAAGGGUAACGGAGGAGUACGAAGGUACGCUAGGUACGGUCGGAAAUCGUGCUGAUAGUGCAAUGGCAUAAGCGUGCUUAACUGCGAGACCGACAAGUCGAGCAGGUGCGAAAGCAGGUCAUAGUGAUCCGGUGGUUCUGUAUGGAAGGGCCAUCGCUCAACGGAUAAAAGGUACUCUGGGGAUAACAGGCUGAUACCGCCCAAGAGUUCAUAUCGACGGCGGUGUUUGGCACCUCGAUGUCGGCUCAUCUCAUCCUGGGGCUGUAGCCGGUCCCAAGGGUAUGGCUGUUCGCCAUUUAAAGAGGUACGUGAGCUGGGUUUAAAACGUCGUGAGACAGUUUGGUCCCUAUCUGCCGUGGGCGUUGGAUAUUUGAAGGGGGCUGCUCCUAGUACGAGAGGACCGGAGUGGACGAACCUCUGGUGUACCGGUUGUGACGCCAGUCGCAUCGCCGGGUAGCUAUGUUCGGAAGAGAUAACCGCUGAAAGCAUCUAAGCGGGAAACUCGCCUUAAGAUGAGAUAUCCCUGGAGGCUUGACCUCCUUGAAGGGUCGUUCGAGACCAGGACGUUGAUAGGUCGGGUGUGUAAGCGCAGUAAUGCGUUCAGCUAACCGAUACUAAUUGCCCGUAAGGCUUGAUCCU